UGGGGGAUAUUGCACAAUGGGCGAAAGCCUGAUGCAGCGACGCCGCGUGGGGGAUGAAGGCCUUCGGGUUGUAAACUUCUUUUGCUCUGAACAAGGCGCACCAUGGGGUGUGUUGAGUGUAGGGGUUGAUUAGCGCCGGCUAACUACGUGCCAGCAGCCGCGGUAAUACGUAGGGCGCGAGCGUUGUCCGGAAUUAUUGGGCGUAAAGGGCUUGUAGGUGGCUGGUUGCGUCUGUCGUGAAAGCUCAUGGCUUAACUGUGGGUUUGCGGUGGGUACGGGCUGGCUUGAGUGCAGUAGGUGACGCUGGAAUUCCUGGUGUAGCGGUGGAAUGCGCAGAUAUCAGGAGGAAUACCGGUGGCGAAGGCGGGUCUCUGGGCUGUUACUGACACUGAGGAGCGAAAGCAUGGGGAGCGAACAGG
This 419-nucleotide ribosomal RNA is filed under the name bacterium. RNAcentral's name for it is "partial 16S ribosomal RNA". It matches the Rfam family "Bacterial small subunit ribosomal RNA", at positions 355 to 776 of the family's 1533-position model. The record is from RNAcentral.